Molecule: unclassified non-coding RNA, 254 nt
Filed under: plant metagenome
Description: partial contains small subunit ribosomal RNA and internal transcribed spacer 1
Rfam family: Eukaryotic small subunit ribosomal RNA (bases 1-46)
Source: RNAcentral
AAGUCGUAACAAGGUCUCCGUUGGUGAACCAGCAGAGGGAUCAUUGCUGGAACAAACGUCCUCACGGACGCUACCCAGAAACCCUUUGUGAACUUAUAUAACGUUGCCUCGGCAUUGGUUGGCUUCGAAUGAAGUCCCUUACAUCCCAUUUGUGGGGCCCCUACUGUUGGGGCGUGAGGAGCAGACCGGCCGACGGCCCCCUAUAAACCUUGUUUUUGUAACAUCUUCUGAGUAAACAACUAAAUGAAUCAAAA